This 259-nucleotide ribosomal RNA is filed under the name uncultured bacterium. Its description in RNAcentral is "partial 16S ribosomal RNA". It matches the Rfam family "Bacterial small subunit ribosomal RNA", at positions 793 to 1055 of the family's 1533-position model. The record is from RNAcentral.
GUCCACGCCGUAAACGAUGAUAACUCGACGUUGGCAAUAUACUGUUCAGCGUCCAAGCGAAAGCGUUAAGUUAUCCACCUGGGGAGUACGAUCGCAAGGUUGAAACUCAAAGGAAUUGACGGGGGCCCCGCACAAGCGGUGGAGCAUGUGGUUUAAUUCGAUGAUACGCGAGGAACCUUACCAGGGCUUAAAUGGGAAUUGACAGACUGGGAAACUAGUCCUCCUUCGGGCAAUUUUCAAGGUGCUGCAUGGUUGUCGU